GAUCAUGGCUCAGAUUGAACGCUGGCGGAAUGCUUUACACAUGCAAGUCGAGCGGCAGCGCGGGGCAACCUGGCGGCGAGCGGCGAACGGGUGAGUAAUACAUCGGAACGUGCCCAGACGUGGGGGAUAGCCCGGCGAAAGCCGGAUUAAUACCGCAUACGAUCUGAGGAUGAAAGCGGGGGAUCGCAAGACCUCGCGCGUUUGGAGCGGCCGAUGGCAGAUUAGGUAGUUGGUGGGGUAAAGGCUUACCAAGCCUGCGAUCUGUAGCUGGUCUGAGAGGAUGAUCAGCCACACUGGGACUGAGACACGGCCCAGACUCCUACGGGAGGCAGCAGUGGGGAAUUUUGGACAAUGGGCGCAAGCCUGAUCCAGCCAUUCCGCGUGCAGGAUGAAGGCCUUCGGGUUGUAAACUGCUUUUGUACAGAACGAAAAGGCUCUGGUUAAUACCUGGGGCUCAUGACGGUACUGUAAGAAUAAGCACCGGCUAACUACGUG
This 495-nucleotide ribosomal RNA is filed under the name uncultured bacterium. RNAcentral's name for it is "bacterial SSU rRNA". It matches the Rfam family "Bacterial small subunit ribosomal RNA", at positions 15 to 507 of the family's 1533-position model. The record is from RNAcentral.